UUCCCCCCCAUCAAAUAGUCAAAUAUUUUGUAAUUCCCUCCACAAUUUUCAUUAGGUUUAGUUUCUUCCCCAAAUCCCUAACUUUCUCUCCAUAGUCCAUACCAUCACUUUUCUUGCGUCGUCCCCUCUGCGCAUUGCGCACGCACCGUGGCUGCCCACCAACGCCGACCGCCACCUACCAAGAUUACCCUUCCCAACGAUGAACCACCAUCACCGGCUCUCUCCACCAUGGUAUAUCUCUCUCCAUCACCACUGAAUUUUCCCCCAAAGCCCUAUCUCUUUCGCUGAUUACUUGCCUUAUCUCACUGUGAAGCCAGAGGAAAUAAUAGCUAUUAUCAGUGACUUCAAUGAGCCUGGCUCGCUUGCUCCAACUGGCUUACCGCUUACACCUUGGUGGGACCAAAUAUAUGGUGAUUCAAGGCGAGGCAGGAGCUGUUAUUCGAGGCAAAAAGGAUCAUGAGGAGCGGUUUGAAACCAUCUCCCAAG
Molecule: long non-coding RNA, 486 nt
Organism: Helianthus annuus (common sunflower)
Lineage: Eukaryota; Viridiplantae; Streptophyta; Magnoliopsida; Asterales; Asteraceae
Exons: 3
Source: RefSeq, a predicted model, not a curated record